RNAcentral lists this ribosomal RNA (253 nucleotides) under uncultured bacterium. RNAcentral describes it as "partial 16S ribosomal RNA". It matches the Rfam family "Bacterial small subunit ribosomal RNA", at positions 524 to 776 of the family's 1533-position model. The record is from RNAcentral.
UACGGAGGGUGCAAGCGUUAUCCGGAUUCACUGGGUUUAAAGGGUGCGUAGGUGGGCAGGUAAGUCAGUGGUGAAAUCUCCGGGCUUAACCCGGAAACUGCCAUUGAUACUAUCUGUCUUGAAUACCGUGGAGGUGAGCGGAAUAUGUCAUGUAGCGGUGAAAUGCUUAGAUAUGACAUAGAACACCAAUUGCGAAGGCAGCUCACUACACGAAUAUUGACACUGAGGCACGAAAGCGUGGGGAGCGAACAGG